AAGUCGUAACAAGGUUUCCGUAGGUGAACCUGCGGAAUCAUUAACACGUAUCCAACGUUAAAACAACCCCGUGAACUUUCAGCUUGCUCCUGUAGCCCGUGAAAGCAGCAAUCCCUGGCUUUACGACAACUACAGUCUAACUUCGCCGCGCGUGAAAUUCGCACGGCACCAAAAACCGAACAACUGUUAACAAUGGAUAUCUUGGUUCUC
RNAcentral lists this unclassified non-coding RNA (210 nucleotides) under fungal sp. Its description in RNAcentral is "partial internal transcribed spacer region". The record is from RNAcentral. Lineage: Eukaryota; Fungi.